AUUGAACGCUGGCGGCAGGCCUAACACAUGCAAGUCGAGCCGAUGAAGGGAGCUUGCUCCUGGAUUCAGCGGCGGACGGGUGAGUAAUGCCUAGGAAUCUGCCUGGUAGUGGGGGAUAACGUCCGGAAACGGGCGCUAAUACCGCAUACGUCCUGAGGGAGAAAGUGGGGGAUCUUCGGACCUCACGCUAUCAGAUGGGCCUAGGUCGGAUUAGCUAGUUGGUGGGGUAAAGGCCUACCAAGGCGACGAUCCGUAACUGGUCUGAGAGGAUGAUCAGUCACACUGGAACUGAGACACGGUCCAGACUCCUACGGGAGGCAGCAGUGGGGAAUAUUGGACAAUGGGCGAAAGCCUGAUCCAGCCAUGCCGCGUGUGUGAAGAAGGUCUUCGGAUUGUAAAGCACUUUAAGUUGGGAGGAAGGGCAGUAAGUUAAUACCUUGCUGUUUUGACGUUACCAACAGAAUAAGCACCGGCUAACUUCGUG
Molecule: ribosomal RNA, 484 nt
Filed under: uncultured bacterium
Lineage: Bacteria
Description: partial 16S ribosomal RNA
Rfam family: Bacterial small subunit ribosomal RNA
Source: RNAcentral